CUUCCUUCCUUUCUUUUUCUUUCUUUCUUUCUUUCUUUCUUUCUUUCUUUCUUUCUUUCUUUCUUUCUUUCUUUCUUUCUUUCUUUCUUUCUUUCUUUCUUUCUUUCUUUCUCUCUCUCUCUCUUUCUUUCUCUCUCUUUCUCUCUCUCUUUCUUCUUUCUUUCUUUCUUUCUUUCUUUCUUUCUUUCUUUCUUUCUUUCUUUCUUUCUUUCUUUCUUUCUUUCUUUCUUUCUUUCCUUCUUUCCUUCUUUCCUUCUUUCCUUCUUUCCUUCUUUCCUUCUUUCUUUCUUUCUUUUUCUCUCCAGUGCAGCAUCAAAACCAGAGGCAGAAAAUCAGGACUCAGCAGGUUUAAUGCAUUCUUAUUGUUAUAUCUUCACAUUUUCUCUAGUUCUUGCUCCAAGUUUGGGCUGGUUACCUGGGUCCCAUGGGCUUUUUUCUGAGAACAGAGUAUUUGUGCUCCAUUCUCCUAUUGUUAAGGGAACACACACUUUUUGCUUUCAAAAGCAGAUUCUUCCUUUGCCUUUCUGUUUAGAAUUAAUCCAUUCCUGCCUCCUAGCAACCACUUACCAUUGCAUCUACAGCCAAGACAGCAAGUAAACAUCCGCUGUUUUAUACGACAGAAGGAAGGUGUGCCACCCAAAGGAACCUGGACAAGAUUGAAAAGUGGGCCCACAUGAACACAGCGAGGUUCAACAAUCCAAGUCUAAGGUAUUGCACUUGGAUUGGAGCAGUGCCAGACAUCCCAGACUGGAAGAAGGACAUGGAGGUUUGGAGGACAAAAAGCUGGACAUGAGCCAGCAGUGUGCGUUUCCAGCUCAGAAGACCUACUGUAUUCUCAGUUGCUUCAAAAGAGGGAGGGCCAGCAGGGAGAGGGAAAGGACUGUUGCCCUCUGCUUUGCCUUCAUGGGGCCCUGCCUGCAGCACUGCUUCCAGGCCUGGGGCCCCCAGCACAAGAAAGAUGCUGAGCUGUUGGAGCGGUUCCAGAGAAGGGCCAUGAAGAUGAUCAGAGGGCUGGAGCACCUCUCUUACAAAGACAGGCUCAGGGACUUGGGAUUGUUCAUCCUGGAGAACAGAAGGCUCCUGGAGGACCUCACUGCUGCCUUCCAGUACUCAAAAGGAACUUGCAAACAGGAGGGAAACCAACUUUUUACAAAGGUAGAUAGUGAUAGAACAAAGAGGAAUGGCUUUAAACUAAAAUAAAGGAGGUUUAGGUUAGAUGUUCGGAGGAAAUUCUUUACUCCAAGGGUGAAGAGGCACUAGCACAGGCUGCCCAGAGAAGCUGUGAGUGUCCCAUCCCUAGAGGUGCUUAAGGCCAGGUUGGAUGGGGUCCUGGGCAGCCUGAUCUGGUGGGAGAAGACCAGCCCACGGCAGGGGAGGUUGGUACUGAAUUGUUUUUAAUGUCCCUUCUCAUCUAGGCCAUUUUGUGAUUCUGCGGUCCCUGAAAGAUAUUUGUAGGGUUUUUUUACAAUAUUGUUUUGGAGUGGUAACAGUUCUGAAAUUGUGGAAUUCCCUAGAAAAUAGAAAAAACUGUUCCCUCUCAGCACACAAUGUGUUUUAAAAUGUCUAGCAGUUCCUCAGUUUUCAAAAAAGCACACACAUGAUGCAUCCCACAGCAUCUGGUAGGAAACGUAACAUGAGAAAUUCUCUUGAUUAUACAGCUGGAUACAACAGGGCCACAGAUUCAUAAGUAAGCUAUUAAAAUUGUAAGGUCAAUGCAUUUUUCUUUAUCCUGGUAUGUCAUUUGUAUGCUCCAGCAUUUUGUCAACUAAGCCUUUUUUCCUCUUGAGCAACCUUAUUGACGAUAAAAUGUACGAAAUCCAGGUGUAGCCUUGCUUGCAGCUUAAGAAAGCCUUUGAAGAGGCCACAGAAUCAUAUAUCAUUAAGAACUGCAUGAAGUAUCAAAAAAACUUUUGGCCAGCCCAACAAGCCUGCAAAUAAAGGCCAUGCCAUCAGUCUGGAAACAUGAAGCAGCCCAUCAAGGUUAUUUUGGUAUAUUUUGCAUUUUAGCACUUGACUACCAGGUUUCUUUCAAAACCACCACUAAAACACCCAAUUUCAGCAGUGAUGUAUGAAUGAGGCUCAGUCUGCAAAUCAAAUAGUUUUUCAAGUUCAGGGUUGAUUGCAGCCAAGCCCUUUCAUCAUCAUCAGGGUGUGCGAUAGGUAAAUGGCCUAAUUCUCACUUCUACCAGAGUGCCAGUGCUGAUACAGCCCUCACUAUCAUUGUGAUUAUAAAGCUACCUGACAGCGAUACAACACUGUCCUCUUCUAAUACAGAAAUAGGAGUUAACAAUACAUCUGCAUUCACACUAUGGCCAGUCUAAACUUGGACGUUUUACUGGCAGAGACAUGCUGGUUCAGAGUGCAGAGAAAAGUGUCACACACCUCUCUGACAGCUGUGCUGGCAGGCACCCUGGAGGAGUGCUUAGAUAGACAAAACAAGUUUCUGCAGGGUAGAAGUAGCUGUCUGCAUAAGCUUGUCUCAUAUGAGAAGCAGGGUACUUUGAACUGGCUUAGCACCCUUUCACUGAGUUUGACCCAAUGUCUAAAGCCAUAGCUGUGUCAUUAAAGAUACUUAAUUCCAGGAAAUAGUAAAAGCAGUAACAGCGAGAGAGCUCUUUUGCCAGUAUAGAUAUCUUCCCUCAAGGGUAGGAAGUGCAUCAGUAGAACUACCAUAAAUAAGAUCUGAAGGGCACGGGUUAUACCUCUUGAACUACAACAAUGUUGUUAAAAUGGUCCAGAAGAUGAGGCAGUCUGAGACUACUCUUUGACUGCAGAUGACUUCAGUUAGAGAUGCUUUAGGACAAUGUAUCAAAAUAGCUGUAGAUUAUUAAGCUGUAAGUUUUAUUAGGUGGUUUCAAUAAUGCUGUUGCAAGAGAGUAAAAUUGCAGGCUCAGACAGUGACAGUGAAGUUGAACUCAAACUGGGAUGGGGAUUCCCAAGGAUGGCAAAUUUGGACAUCCCAUUUGUGACUCAGAAGCUGAGGAGACUCCAAAAGCUUCCCUGCUGCCUUGUGUACAAAACUCUGCUGUGUACAUUCUUCCUCCCAUUGUUUUACAGUGCUAAAAUUAGUGCAGAGCGACUGUGUAAACAUGUAUGGCAAUAAAGAAACUUUGCUGAAUGUGGUUUUGUUUUUCAUAAUUUCAGCAUUCUGCUCUGAAACAGAAAACUGUUGACAUUAAAUCAGACCUUCAUCACCCUGCUAGAUGCCCUGACCUUCUGCAGCAAAUCCUAGAAAAGAUUUUGACCUUUUCAUGACAAAGAUGUCCUAAAUGUCUCUCCAAAGGCCUCAGCUGCAACUCUCAAGUCAAAGGUAAUGAUGGUAUUUGGAAUCUGCAAGAUAACAGUGUAACAGGAUCUGUCAGCUGGACAUGGAGGAGCAAUCCUUGUAAGAAACACAUUCUGUCUGAACACAAUCCCAUUUCAUACUUGUGUUCCCAUGAGUCUCAUGUGGACAAUUCAUAAGCACCAUAUAAAGAAUGGAUUCUGAUCAGUGCUGAGGUACUUUGAAUUACACAGCAUCUGAAAAAGCACAUCUUCUAUUCUAGAGAUUGGUUCUGCUUUCCGUGAACUUCCAAUUGAACAAGACUCUCCAGGAACAAGGCUGCUGAAUAGAAUUAGACAAAUCCAAGACGUGGAACAAAACUUUGAACUUUGUGGGUUUUUUGUUUGUUUGUUUGUUUUGUUUUGUUUUUGGGAGAGUGCUGUUUUUUCAUUUAAAUCACCAAAAUGCGUGCAGAGCUCAUAUCCAAAUCAUUUCAUGGACAUAUAAGUAGAUUUAGUAGUGUUACCUGUUAUAUAGGUAGUGCUUGAAGAUGCUACUCUCAAUUGUUUAUACAGUUGGAAAAAAAGCUCACUUGGGCUGGAAUUUUCUUUGCUGGUUACCUAUUGUAGGUUUCCGAAUGUUCUUUAAACUUCAGUCCAAAUCACUUCUAAGAAUUAUUUCUAAAGGAAAUCUGAAGACUGUACAGAGUUGCUCCAAUAAACCUCAUGCCUGAUACAGUGGAAAUCCCCACACUUGCUGUAAACAACUGGCUCGGAGACCUGAAAGCAAUCUGACUGUUGCAAGCCUACUUUUGUUGUUAUUUCACAUUUCUCAGUUCAUCUACAGUAGACACAGUCUGAAACUGUGUGUGAGCCAUUUAAUUCUCUUAUCAGUUAUGAUAGCAUAAUACUAAUUUUGGAAAUUGAAAUACCUAAGAAAAGAUGCGUGCCAAUACUCAUCCUGUGGAAAACAGCCCUCUGUUCUCUCACUUGUGUAAGCAGCUGGCAGGGGUACACGCCAGUACUACAUCAUGUCCUGUCAGUGGUCUGUUUUGUCCUAGAACCCAGGAAUAUCCUCAGGUUAAUACCAUGGCAGCAAAGGGACUUUUGCAGAGAAAUAACCUUUGUCCUGUCUCUUGUUAGCUGCUGGUGUCCAAUUGGGAUGAUGAUUUUUCUAUCUGGAAGUAUUCCUGUUUGUACACUGAUCUGACCCUAUAGCAUUCAC
Gallus gallus (chicken) is the source of this 4486-nucleotide long non-coding RNA. The record is from Ensembl. NCBI's taxonomy places the organism in Eukaryota, Metazoa, Chordata, Aves, Galliformes, Phasianidae.